Molecule: ribosomal RNA, 515 nt
Filed under: Gymnodiniaceae sp. ZH-2018a
Lineage: Eukaryota; Dinophyceae; Gymnodiniales; Gymnodiniaceae
Description: partial large subunit ribosomal RNA
Rfam family: Eukaryotic large subunit ribosomal RNA
Source: RNAcentral
ACAGACAGCAAGUACCAUGAGGGAAAGAUGAAAAGGACUUUGAAAAGAGAGUUAAAAGUGCCUGAACUCGCUGAAAGGAAAGCGGAUGGAACCAGUCGUGCUUGGCGAGAUUGUUGCGUGCAAAGGUGACUGCUCACUGCUCGUAGCGUAAGCGCAGCAGCGGGUUUCGAUCUGGUCGCGCGCGAUGCUUCUUGCCUUGUUCGUCAUCGUUGGUUUGGAGGCGCGGACAACUCUUGGGACAUGGUAACUCGCCCACGGGCGAGCGAAUGUGCCUUGCAGAACUCACCUCCAAACUGAUGUCUCUUGUUAGGUUCUGUUGCCGUACGCGGCACGUUCUUGACAAAGCGUGGUGACAGAAUGGUUCUAUUCGACCCGUCUUGAAACACGGACCAAGGAGUCUAACAUAUGUGCAAGUACGUCAGUGGCAAACUGAUAUGCGUAAUGAAAGUAACAGUGGUAGGAACCUUCGGGUGCACUAUCCGCCGGCCAACAUCCUUCGGGAGAAAGGUCUGAGU